This 176-nucleotide unclassified non-coding RNA is filed under the name uncultured fungus. RNAcentral's name for it is "sequence contains ITS1". Lineage: Eukaryota; Fungi. The record is from RNAcentral.
UUAUUAGGUUAUAACAAGACUACGUUUGUUACAUUAAUUGUUCGUUAAAAAGGGCAGACGAUGACUUGGCGAACCCAGUCUUGCGCCUUACAGCUCACCGCUGCUGGGAUGUGAGAUAAGCAAGGCCCUUGCCGAAGCGAAGACACCAAGCAUGUUUAAUUCACUAAUGAUCCUAA